RNAcentral lists this ribosomal RNA (163 nucleotides) under uncultured bacterium. RNAcentral describes it as "partial 16S rRNA". It matches the Rfam family "Bacterial small subunit ribosomal RNA", at positions 355 to 510 of the family's 1533-position model. The record is from RNAcentral.
AAGGGAAUCUUCCACAAUGGGCGAAAGCCUGAUGGAGCAACGCCGCGUGUGUGAUGAAGGGUUUCGGCUCGUAAAACACUGUUGUAAGAGAAGAAUGACAUUGAGAGUAACUGUUCAAUGUGUGACGGUAUCUUACCAGAAAGGAACGGCUAAAUACGUGCCA